Molecule: long non-coding RNA, 661 nt
Organism: Papaver somniferum (opium poppy)
Lineage: Eukaryota; Viridiplantae; Streptophyta; Magnoliopsida; Ranunculales; Papaveraceae
Exons: 4
Source: RefSeq, a predicted model, not a curated record
UCUUGAUUUUAAUCAUCAUCAAUUCCCAACAGUAACAUGAAUCGAUUGAAUUAAUUCCAGAUUGUUUCACAGAAAUCUCACAACAAAUACCCCAGAAGUUCAAAUCAAACCCAAAAUUUUGAGAGCGUUUGAGAAAUGGGGUGAACUGAUUGAAUUAACUUACUUCUUCGAUUACAGAAAAGUUGGAAAUCUCAAUUUGGGUUAGAGCUUCCCAUUUCAGUUAGGGUUUCCCAAGCUUUUCUCAAAGGCUUCAGGAUGCUCAUAGUCUUCUGCUAAAUUGAUUAGUCUCCAAUUCUCCAUUAAAUCAUUAAUCUCCAACAACGAACAACACCAGUUACUCCACCUCUCGAUCCAGAAGAAGAAUGAGAAAAGUCAGUGAUUUGUGGUAAGUUAUCACUCACGCCAGGGAGAAGACGAAGGGAAAGGAUUCAAGGAAGAAGGAACCAUCCAACUUCAACCAAGGAAACCCAUUAAGUCAUGGAUGCAUCAAGUCUAGCUUGUGGAACAGCUACUCCUAUACCUACUUCAGCUGCUACACCUACGUCUGCUACAUAUACAUUUGUUGGAUCCUCUAUCCAACCAACUUACUAUCUGAUGCAGCAUCUUGAUACCUUUCCUAAUUUUGGUCUUUUUAGAUUUCCUUUUUCUUUUAUAAUUCCUU